GUGGGGAAUCUUGCGCAAUGGGCGAAAGCCUGACGCAGCCAUGCCGCGUGAAUGAUGAAGGUCUUAGGAUUGUAAAAUUCUUUCACCGGGGACGAUAAUGACGGUACCCGGAGAAGAAGCCCCGGCUAACUUCGUGCCAGCAGCCGCGGUAAUACGAAGGGGGCUAGCGUUGCUCGGAAUUACUUGGCGUAAAGGGCGCGUAGGCGGAUCGUUAAGUCAGGGGUGAAAUCCCAGAGCUCAACUCUGGAACUGCCCUUGAUACUGGCGAUCUUGAGUGUGAGAGAGGUAUGUGGAACUCCGAGUGUAGAGGUGAAAUUCGUAGAUAUUCGGAAGAACACCAGUGGCGAAGGCGACAUACUGGCUCAUUACUGACGCUGAGGCGCGAAAGCGUGGGGAGCAAACAGGAUUAGAAACCCGGGUAGUCC
RNAcentral lists this ribosomal RNA (425 nucleotides) under uncultured bacterium. RNAcentral describes it as "partial 16S ribosomal RNA". It matches the Rfam family "Bacterial small subunit ribosomal RNA", at positions 354 to 796 of the family's 1533-position model. The record is from RNAcentral.